This 88-nucleotide small RNA is filed under the name Falseniella ignava. RNAcentral's name for it is "Facklamia ignava SAM-III sequence". It matches the Rfam family "SAM-III riboswitch aptamer (SMK box)". The record is from RNAcentral. RNAcentral also lists the same sequence under 1 other name. Lineage: Bacteria; Bacillati; Bacillota; Bacilli; Lactobacillales; Aerococcaceae.
AUAUGUUACACAUCAUUAUUCCCGAUAGGGAUUCAAUUUAAUUGAAUGUUGCCUUGUAACCAAUAUAUAAAUGGGGGAAAAUACAUUG